UCUGGUGUCAGCCGCCGCGGUAAAACCAGCACCUCAAGUGGUCAGGAUGAUUAUUGGGCCUAAAGCAUCCGUAGCCGGCUCUGUUAGUUUUCGGUUAAAUCUGUACGCUCAACGUACAGGCUGCCGGGGAUACUGCAGAGCUAGGGAGUGGGAGAGGUAGACGGUACUCGGUAGGAAGGGGUAAAAUCCUUUGAUCUAUUGAUGACCACCUGUGGCGAAGGCGGUCUACCAGAACACGUCCGACGGUGAGGGAUGAAAGCUGGGGGAGCAAACCGGAUUAGAUACCCGGGUAGUCCCAGCUGUAAACUAUGCAAACUCAGUGAUGCAUUGGCUUGUGGCCAAUGCAGUGCUGCAGGGAAGCCGUUAAGUUUGCCGCCUGGGAAGUACGUACGCAAGUAUGAAACUUAAAGGAAUUGGCGGGGGAGCACCACAAGGGGUGAAGCCUGCGGUUCAAUUGGAGUCAACGCCAGAAAUCUUACCCGGAGAGACAGCAGAAUGAAGGUCAAGCUGAAGACUUUACCAGACAAGCU
Molecule: ribosomal RNA, 530 nt
Filed under: uncultured Nitrososphaerota archaeon
Lineage: Archaea; Thermoproteati; Nitrososphaerota
Description: bacterial SSU rRNA
Rfam family: Archaeal small subunit ribosomal RNA
Source: RNAcentral